This 552-nucleotide ribosomal RNA is filed under the name Tripos fusus. Its description in RNAcentral is "partial Bacterial large subunit ribosomal RNA". It matches the Rfam family "Bacterial large subunit ribosomal RNA", at positions 834 to 1387 of the family's 2925-position model. The record is from RNAcentral. Lineage: Eukaryota; Dinophyceae; Gonyaulacales; Ceratiaceae.
CAAACCGGGAGAUAGCUGGUUCUCCUCGAAAUCUAUUUAGGUAGAGCGUCUCGUGAAUACCCAUGGGGGUAGAGCACUGGAUGGGCUAGGGGGUCCCAACGACUUACCAAACCUAACCAAACUCCGAAUACCAUGGAGUACUGCGAGGCAGACACACUGCGGGUGCUAAGGUCCGUAGUGAAGAGGGAAACAGCCCUGACCGCCAGCUAAGGUCCCUAAGUUAUCACUAAGUGGGAAACGAUGUGGGAGUGCUUAGACAACCAGGAGGUUGGCUUAGAAGCAGCCACCCUUUAAAGAAAGCGUAAUAGCUCACUGGUCGAGUCGUCUCGCGCGGAAGAUGUAACGGGGCUAAGCACAUAACCGAAGCUGUGGAUGCAUAUUUAUAUGCAUGGUAGGAGAGCGUUCUGUAGGCCUGCGAAGGUGUUCUGUGAGGAAUGCUGGAGGUAUCAGAAGUGCGAAUGCUGACGUGAGUAACGAUAAUGCGGGUGAAAAACCCGCACGCCGAAAACCCAAGGUUUCCUGCGCAACGCUAAUCGGCGCAGGGUGAGUCGG